AUUGAACGCUGGCGGCAUGCCUUACACAUGCAAGUCGAACGGCAGCACGGGUGCUUGCACCUGGUGGCGAGUGGCGAACGGGUGAGUAAUACAUCGGAACAUGUCCUGUAGUGGGGGAUAGCCCGGCGAAAGCCGGAUUAAUACCGCAUACGAUCUACGGAUGAAAGCGGGGGACCUUCGGGCCUCGCGCUAUAGGGUUGGCCGAUGGCUGAUUAGCUAGUUGGUGGGGUAAAGGCCUACCAAGGCGACGAUCAGUAGCUGGUCUGAGAGGACGACCAGCCACACUGGGACUGAGACACGGCCCAGACUCCUACGGGAGGCAGCAGUGGGGAAUGUUGGACAAUGGGCGAAAGCCUGAUCCAGCAAUGCCGCGUGUGUGAAGAAGGCCUUCGGGUUGUAAAGCACUUUUGUCCGGAAAGAAAUCCUUGGCCCUAAUACGGUCGGGGGAUGACGGUACCGGAAGAAUAAGCACCAGCUAACUACGUG
This 486-nucleotide ribosomal RNA is filed under the name uncultured bacterium. RNAcentral's name for it is "partial 16S ribosomal RNA". It matches the Rfam family "Bacterial small subunit ribosomal RNA", at positions 30 to 507 of the family's 1533-position model. The record is from RNAcentral.